CGAACGGGUGAGUAACACGUGAGUAACCUGCCCCUCACUUCUGGAUAACCGCUUGAAAGGGUGGCUAAUACGGGGUGUUCUGGCCUGCUCGCAUGGGUGGGUUUGGAAAGAUUCGACCGGUUUUGGUUGUUUUGGUGGGGGAUGGGCUCGCGGCCUAUCAGCUUGUUGGUGGGGUGAUGGCCUGCCAAGGCUUUGACGGGUAGCCGGCCUGAGAGGGUGGGCGGUCACACUGGGACUGAGACACGGCCCAG
RNAcentral lists this ribosomal RNA (251 nucleotides) under uncultured bacterium. RNAcentral describes it as "partial 16S ribosomal RNA". It matches the Rfam family "Bacterial small subunit ribosomal RNA", at positions 99 to 334 of the family's 1533-position model. The record is from RNAcentral.